CUCAGGGAGGUAGUGACAAGAAAUAACAACACUGGAAAUUUUAUUUCUAGUGAUUGGAAUGAUGGGAAUUUAAACCCCUUUCAGAGUAACAAUUGGAGGGCAAGUCUGGUGCCAGCAGCCGCGGUAAUUCCAGCUCCAAUAGCGUAUAUUAAAGUUGUUGCAGUUAAAAAGCUCGUAGUUGGAUGUCUGCUGGAAGCAAUCAGUCCGCCCUAUUUGUAGGGUGUGCACUUGAUGAAUUCUGGCAUUUUUGUCCCAAUGAUGUAACGGGGCGGUGGUACUCGGUGAAAGCCGAGUAUCCUGUUUUCCGAUUAUUGGGAUACUGUUACUUUGAGAAAAUUAGAGUGUUUGAAGCAGGCUAAUUGCCUUGAAUACUGCAGCAUGGAAUAACAAUAUAGGAUUUCGGUUCUAUUUUGUUGGUUUCUAGGACUGAAAUAAUGAUUAAUAGGGACAGUUGGGGGCAUUCGUAUUUAACUGUCAGAGGUGAAAUUCUUAGAUUUGUUAAAGACGAACUACUGCGAAAGCAUUUGCCAAAGAUGUUUUCAUUAAUCAAGAACGAAAGUUAGGGGCUCGAAGACGAUCAGAUACCGUCGUAGUCUUAACCAUAAACUAUGCCGACUAGAGAUAGGAAAAUGUCAUUUUGCUGACUU
RNAcentral lists this ribosomal RNA (647 nucleotides) under Sarcocystis tenella. RNAcentral's name for it is "SSU rRNA". It matches the Rfam family "Eukaryotic small subunit ribosomal RNA", at positions 455 to 1077 of the family's 1831-position model. Lineage: Eukaryota; Apicomplexa; Conoidasida; Eucoccidiorida; Sarcocystidae. The record is from RNAcentral.